RNAcentral lists this ribosomal RNA (253 nucleotides) under uncultured bacterium. RNAcentral's name for it is "partial 16S ribosomal RNA". It matches the Rfam family "Bacterial small subunit ribosomal RNA", at positions 524 to 776 of the family's 1533-position model. The record is from RNAcentral.
UACGGGGGGGGCAAGCGUUGUUCGGAAUUACUGGGCGUAAAGGGCUCGUAGGCGGCCAACUAAGUCAGACGUGAAAUCCCUCGGCUUAACCGGGGAACUGCAUCUGAUACUGGAUGGCUUGAGUUCGGGAGAGGGAUGCGGAAUUCCAGGUGUAGCGGUGAAAUGCGUAGAUAUCUGGAGGAACACCGGUGGCGAAGGCGGCAUCCUGGACCGACACUGACGCUCAUGCACGAAAGCGUGGGGAGCAAACAGG